UACGUAGGGCGCAAGCGUUGUCCGGAAUUAUUGGGCGUAAAGAGCUCGUAGGCGGCCUGUUACGUCUGCUGUGAAAUCCCGGGGCUUAACCCCGGGCGUGCAGUGGAUACGGGCAGGCUGGAGGCAGGCAGGGGAGAACGGAAUUCCCGGUGUAGCGGUGAAAUGCACAGAUAUCAGGAGGAACACCGGUGGCGAAGGCGGAUCUCUGGGCCAUUACUGACGCUGAGGAGCGAAAGCGUGGGGAGCGAACAGG
This 253-nucleotide ribosomal RNA is filed under the name uncultured bacterium. RNAcentral's name for it is "partial 16S ribosomal RNA". It matches the Rfam family "Bacterial small subunit ribosomal RNA", at positions 524 to 776 of the family's 1533-position model. The record is from RNAcentral.